RNAcentral lists this ribosomal RNA (566 nucleotides) under Trametes sp. RNAcentral's name for it is "LSU rRNA". It matches the Rfam family "Eukaryotic large subunit ribosomal RNA", at positions 107 to 657 of the family's 3401-position model. The record is from RNAcentral. Lineage: Eukaryota; Fungi; Basidiomycota; Agaricomycetes; Polyporales; Polyporaceae.
GCUCAAAUUUAAAAUCUGGCGGUCUUUGGCCGUCCGAGUUGUAGUCUGGAGAAGCGUUUUCCGCGUUGGACCGUGUACAAGUCUCUUGGAACAGAGCGUCAUAGAGGGUGAGAAUCCCGUCUUUGACACGGACUACCAAUGCUUUGUGAUGCGCUCUCAAAGAGUCGCGUUGUUUGGGAAUGCAGCGCAAAAUGGGAGGUGAAUUCCUUCUAAAGCUAAAUAUUGGCGAGAGACCGAUAGCGAACAAGUACCGUGAGGGAAAGAUGAAAAGCACUUUGGAAAGAGAGUUAAACAGUACGUGAAAUUGCUGAAAGGGAAACGCUUGAAGUCAGUCGCGUCGUCCGGAACUCAGCCUUGCUUCGGCUUGGUGCACUUUCCGGAUGACGGGCCAGCAUCGAUUUUGACCGCUGGAAAAGGGCUGGAGGAAUGUGGCACCUUCGGGUGUGUUAUAGCCUUCAGUCGCAUACAGCGGUUGGGAUCGAGGAACGCAGCACGCCUUAUGGCUGGGGUUCGCCCACAUUCGUGCUUAGGAUGCUGGCAUAAUGGCUUUAAACGACCCGUCUUGA